GCUUAAUUGAGUUGAGUUUUUUCUAAAGUUGCUAGCUCCUUCAUUGAGCUUGUGGGGUUAGAGCUCCCUCAUAAUGCUUACAGUAAGGUACAAUGGGUCGGUGAAAGAACAAGUCCAACUUCCCUUUUGCUUACGACUAUUCGGUAAUGCAAUCUGUAAUAUGAGAUUGUAUCAACUUGGUAUCAGAGCCAAAUGUCAUGGACGACUCCAAUCACAACAAUUCUGUCACAUAUCAAAUUGAGGUCUUUAUGAAAUAGAACUAAGAAGACAAGCAAUAGUAUUGUAGGGAAAGGGUGCAAGAAUGUGCGUUUUGGGCAGCAAAGGCCACAAGAAUGGAGACCCUGUUGCAUGAAUUCAUUUCAACGUGUUUGGAGGACCGCAAUGUUGAAUCCAACCACAUUUAAAGUGUAGGGUGAGGCACGAUGGAAGGCUUUAAAAAAUGAACUAGAAAACAAUAAUAAGAGCGAGAAUUACGUUCUUUGAUACGCGAAGUUAGAUUUUCCUAACUUCAAUGGAAUGGAACAUCCAUUGGGAUGGUUCAAUUGAUGUGAGCAUUUCUUUCACUACUAGAAUGUCAUAGAUACCAAACAAUUGGAGAUAGCUUCCUUUCACCUUCAGGGGAAGGCUUAGAUUUGUUUCCUUUAGGAUACCCAGGACUUAACUGGACUAAGUUCAAGGACCACUGUAAUCGGAGGUUUGGUCCAAUGGCCAGGGAAUAUCAACCAGAGGAAUUCAUCAAAUGUCGAUAGGUCAAAUCCAUCAACAAGUAUAAGGAACGAUUUGAGCAACUGGUCGCUAGUGCUAGGUUGCUAACACCAAUUAGAAACUACAACUUUUCGGUAUGCUAGUGAUAGAUCUGCAAUGAUGGGCUUCGAUCACUGCUAAAGCAAGUAUCUCGAACCCUUUUUUUUCUUUGAAAAAGAUACUUAGUCACAUAUUUGGCAUUUUCUAUUUAAAUUAAAAGGAUGUCUUGCUUUUGUUAAAGCCUUUGAUUGACUCGUUGAAGUGGUAGUCAUAGGAGACUGUAGUCAUACAUCAUAAAGAUAAUAUCCCAAUGAACCUUAUAGCUAAAGCUAAAAAAUAUAAUAUAUUGGAGCUUAAGAUUUAGCGAUCGGUGGACAUUGAAGAUGUUAUGAGUUUAGCCCUACUCUGAGAACAAAAGAGAGAUGGGGUUUGGCAAGAUUAUAAGAAUCAUAGAUCGGUUAAGUUGUUUGACUUAGCUUGGAAACUCAACCAAUUCUCCUGGGAUCCACUUACAAGAGCCCUGAAGUUCACACUGAAUGAAACAGAGUAAAGACACAAUUAAGGUCUUUGUUAUCAUUGUGACGAUUUCUAUAUAAGGCAUGGUUUUAAACUACGGUUGUGGUCACAUUCGCAAUUGCAGGUAACAGAGAUAGGUUUGUGAUGGUCAUAACGUAAUAGUAACGGCUUAAUGCUUAGCAAAUUUUUUUGAAAAAUUUGUA
Molecule: unclassified non-coding RNA, 1463 nt
Filed under: Hevea brasiliensis (rubber tree)
Lineage: Eukaryota; Viridiplantae; Streptophyta; Magnoliopsida; Malpighiales; Euphorbiaceae
Source: RNAcentral